RNAcentral lists this ribosomal RNA (253 nucleotides) under uncultured bacterium. Its description in RNAcentral is "partial 16S ribosomal RNA". It matches the Rfam family "Bacterial small subunit ribosomal RNA", at positions 524 to 776 of the family's 1533-position model. The record is from RNAcentral.
UACGAGGGGUGCAAAUGUUGUUCGGAAUCACUGGGCGUAAAGGGAGCGUAGGCGGGCUUCUAAGUUAGGUGUUUAAUCCCGGGGCCCAACCCCGGUCGUGCACUUAAAACUGGAAGUCUUGAAUAGUGGAGAGGUCAGUGGAAUUGGGGGUGUAGCGGUGGAAUGCGUAGAGAUCCCCAAGAACACCAGUUGCGAAGGCGGCUGACUGGACACAUAUUGACGCUGAGGCUCGAAAGCAUGGGGAGCAAACAGG